RNAcentral lists this ribosomal RNA (505 nucleotides) under uncultured bacterium. RNAcentral describes it as "partial 16S ribosomal RNA". It matches the Rfam family "Bacterial small subunit ribosomal RNA", at positions 28 to 507 of the family's 1533-position model. The record is from RNAcentral.
GACGAACGCUGGCGGCGUGCCUAAUACAUGCAAGUAGAACGCACAGUUUAUACCGUAGCUUGCUACACCAUAGACUGUGAGUUGCGAACGGGUGAGUAACGCGUAGGUAACCUGCCUGGUAGCGGGGGAUAACUAUUGGAAACGAUAGCUAAUACCGCAUAAUAUUAAUUAUUGCAUGAAAAUUAAUUGAAAGGUGCAAUUGCACCACUACCAGAUGGACCUGCGUUGUAUUAGCUAGUAGGUGAGGUAACGGCUCACCUAGGCGACGAUACAUAGCCGAACUGCGAGGGUGAGCGGCCGGACUGGGACUGAGACACGGCCCAGAGUCCUACGGGAGGCAGCAGUAGGGCAUCGGCGGCAAGAGACGAAAGUCUGACCGAGAAACGCCGCGGGAGUGAAGAAGGUUGUCGGAUCGGAAAGCUCGGUUGUAAGAGAAGAAAGGGUGUGAGAGUGGAAAGUUCACAGUGUGACGGUAUCUUAUCAGAAAGGGACGGCUAACUACGUG